CGUAACACGUAUGCAACCUACCCUUAACUGGGGAAAACCCUGUGAAAGCGGGGCUAAUACCCCAUAACAUUAUGGUAAGGCAUCUUACUAUUAUCAAAGAUUUAUCGGUUAGGGAUGGGCAUGCGCCCCAUUAGUUAGUUGGUUAGGUAACGGCUAACCAAGACUGUGAUGGGUAGGGGUUCUGAGAGGAUUAUCCCCCACACUGGUACUGAGACACGGACCAGACUCCUACGGGAGGCAGCAGUAAGGAAUAUUGGGCAAUGGACGCAAGUCUGACCCAGCCAUGCCGCGUGCAGGAUGACGGCCUUAUGGGUUGUAAACUGCUUUUGUAUGGGAUUAAAGUGUUGUACGUGUACGACAUUGCAAGUACCAUACGAAUAAGCAUCGGCUAACUCCGUGCCAGCAGCCGCGGUAAUACGGAGGAUGCAAGCGUUAUCCGGAAUCAUUGGGUUUAAAGGGUGCGUAGGUUGAUUAUUAAGUCAGUGGUGAAAAUUCCGGGCUCAACCCGGGACUUGCCGUUGAAACUGAUAAUCUUGAGUGUAACUGAUGUGGGCGGAAUGUGUCAAGUAGCGGUGAAAUGCAUAGAUAUGACACAGAACACCGAUAGCGAAGGCAGCUCACAAAAUUACAACUGACACUGAGGCACGAAAGCGUGGGUAUCAAACAGGAUUAGAUACCCUGGUAGUCCACGCUGUAAACGAUGAUCACUAGCUGUUUGCGAUACAUUGUAAGUGGUUAAGCGAAAGCGAUAAGUGAUCCACCUGGGGAGUACGUCGGCAACGAUGAAACUCAAAGGAAUUGACGGGGGCCCGCACAAGCGGAGGAGCAUGUGGUUUAAUUCGAUGAUACGCGAGGAACCUUACCUGGGCUUGAACGUAUGGUGCAUGAGUGUGAAAGCACUCUUUCCUUCACAGGACUUCAUACGAGGCGCUGCAUGGUUGUCGUCAGCUCGUGCCGUGAGGUGUUAGGUUAAGUCCUGCAACGAGCCCAACCCCUGUUUUUAGUUGCCAGCAGGUUAUGCUGGGCGCUCUAGAAAGACUGCCUGCACAAGCAGAGAUGAAGGUGGGGAUGAUGUCAAAUCAGCACG
This 1087-nucleotide ribosomal RNA is filed under the name uncultured organism. RNAcentral's name for it is "bacterial SSU rRNA". It matches the Rfam family "Bacterial small subunit ribosomal RNA", at positions 109 to 1197 of the family's 1533-position model. The record is from RNAcentral.